UGGGGAAUAUUGCACAAUGGGCGCAAGCCUGAUGCAGCCAUGCCGCGUGUAUGAAGAAGGCCUUCGGGUUGUAAAGUACCUUCAGCGGGGAGGAAGGGAGUAAAGUUAAUACCUUUGCUCAUUGACGUUACCCGCAGAAGAAGCACCGGCUAACUCCGUGCCAGCAGCCGCGGUAAUACGGAGGGUGCAAGCGUUAAUCGGAAUUACUGGGCGUAAAGCGCACGCAGGCGGUUUGUUAAGUCAGAUGUGAAAUCCCCGGGCUCAACCUGGGAACUGCAUCUGAUACUGGCAAGCUUGAGUCUCGUAGAGGGGGGUAGAAUUCCAGGUGUAGCGGUGAAAUGCGUAGAGAUCUGGAGGAAUACCGGUAGCGAAGGCGGCCCCCUGGACAAAGACUGACGCUCAGGUGCGAAAGCGUGGGGAGCAAACAGG
RNAcentral lists this ribosomal RNA (429 nucleotides) under Chloroflexota bacterium. RNAcentral describes it as "Chloroflexi bacterium partial 16S ribosomal RNA". It matches the Rfam family "Bacterial small subunit ribosomal RNA", at positions 355 to 776 of the family's 1533-position model. The record is from RNAcentral. Lineage: Bacteria; Bacillati; Chloroflexota.